CUUCCGUAGGGUGAACCUGCGGAAGGAUCAUU
Molecule: ribosomal RNA, 32 nt
Filed under: Moringa oleifera (horseradish tree)
Lineage: Eukaryota; Viridiplantae; Streptophyta; Magnoliopsida; Brassicales; Moringaceae
Also listed under: 2 other names
Description: partial 18S ribosomal RNA
Source: RNAcentral